Long non-coding RNA from Oncorhynchus tshawytscha (Chinook salmon), 522 nucleotides. RefSeq lists it as uncharacterized. The record is from RefSeq and is a predicted model, not a curated record. The transcript is spliced from 4 exons. Lineage: Eukaryota; Metazoa; Chordata; Actinopteri; Salmoniformes; Salmonidae.
GAGCAGAGCAGAUGUCAGAGACAUUUUCUGAUUCUCCUGCCGGUUUCCCCUAGAUAUCACAAUCACAAAGUCAUAAUUGGCUACAGGAAUGUACUGUUUGUCCCAACCGGAGCGCAUCCUCAGACCAGCCGGUGCAUGGACAUCCUGUGCCAGUGUGAUCCGAGCGCGAGCGUCCAGUUGUGGAGACUACAGCACAUCGAGCCUAUGGAUUGACAGACAUGAGGUGUAAUAUGCGGAACAUCAGGCUCACACCACAAGAAGCAGUGCAUGAGCAACUCCACCUUCAGCAAGGAGAUCUGCUGGAAGUGGUGUACUCGCUCUCUCACUCUGGGGGAGUUCAGCGAUCCAUACAUCAGAACCAGCAUCAUGCCACUAUGAGGCUGAACAAGAAUUGUUCCACUGCACCAGGUUACAGAGGGAUGACACAUUCACUCGACAUCUAGACUGAGUACACUUUUACAGUCAUUCCAUGUUUGCUUCAUGCAUUAUCAUCCUGUAAAAUAAAGUUAAUUUUGUACAUGC